CACCUCCAGGCAGGCACUGAGGCCACUGCAGAGUGUCUGGACACAGGCUUAUGGAGCAACCACAAUGUCCCCCCACAGUGUGUCCCUGUGACCUGUCCUGAUGUCAGUAGCAUCAGCGUGGAGCAUGGCCGAUGGAGGCUUAUCUUUGAGACACAGUAUCAGUUCCAGGCCCAGCUGAUGCUCAUCUGUGACCCUGGCUACUACUAUACUGGCCAAAGGGUCAUCCGCUGUCAGGCCAAUGGCAAAUGGAGCCUCGGGGACUCUACACCCACCUGCCAAAUCAUCUCCUGUGGAGAGCUCCCGAUUCCCCCCAGUGGCCACCGCAUCGGAACACUGUCUGUCUACGGGGCAACAGCCAUCUUCUCCUGCAAUUCCGGAUACACACUGGUGGGCUCCAGGGUGCGUGAGUGCAUGGCCAAUGGGCUUUGGAGUGGCUCUGAAGUCCGCUGCCUUGCUGGACACUGUGGGACUCCUGAGCCCAUUGUCAAUGGCCACAUCAAUGGGGAGAACUACAGCUACCGGGGCAGUGUGGUGUACCAAUGCAACGCUGGCUUCCGCCUGAUCGGCAUGUCUGUGCGCAUCUGCCAGCAGGAUCAUCACUGGUCGGGCAAGACCCCUUUCUGUGUGCCAAUUACCUGUGGACACCCAGGCAACCCUGUCAACGGCCUCACUCAGGGCAACCAGUUUAACCUCAACGAUGUGGUCAAGUUUGUUUGCAACCCCGGGUACAUGGCUGAGGGGGCUGCUAG
This 749-nucleotide small RNA is filed under the name Pongo abelii (Sumatran orangutan). RNAcentral's name for it is "processed transcript". The record is from RNAcentral. Lineage: Eukaryota; Metazoa; Chordata; Mammalia; Primates; Hominidae.